AUCCUGUCUCGGAGCACUACGGACAAUUCCUUCAACCUCAUGUCUUGGUUUUUGCUCUGUCAACUUAUAUAGUGAAGUGUGUGCCGGGCUGGGUUUAGGCUGGGUUUCUGCUGGGUUUAGGCUGGGUUUCUGCUGGGUUUAGGCUGGGUUUCGACUGGGUUUAGGCUGGGUUUCUGCUGGGUUUAGACUAGGUUUAGGCUGGGUUUAGACUGGGUUUAGACUGGGUUUAGGCUGGGUUUCUUCUGGGUUUCUGCUGGGUUUAGGCUGGGUUUCUGCUGGGUUUAGGCUGGGUUUAGGCUGGGUUUAGGCUGGGUUUCUGCUGGGUUUCUGCUGAUGUUUAGGCUGGGUUUCUGCUGAUGUUUUAGAUGCAGGCUGUUCUGUAGGUCUUGCUGUUGAGCCUGUGCACAUCAUUCUUUUUUUUAUUGUUUAUUUUUUAUAGCAGACAACAAGAACACAAUUCACAUUUUUCGAUUAAAUAACAAUAUUUUGUGGUAUAUUUCACUGAAAUGAGUCACUGA
RNAcentral lists this long non-coding RNA (518 nucleotides) under Salmo salar (Atlantic salmon). Its description in RNAcentral is "lncRNA (ENSSSAG00000094676.1)". The record is from RNAcentral. Lineage: Eukaryota; Metazoa; Chordata; Actinopteri; Salmoniformes; Salmonidae.